UGCAGUCGAACGGAGUUUCACUCCUGCGGCGGACUUCGGUCCAAAGUUUUGUGAAACUUAGUGGCGAACGGGUGAGUAACAGGUAGACAACUUGCCUCAAUGACUGGGAUAACAUCGGGAAACUAGUGCUAAUACCGGAUAGGAUAUAGACUCGCAUGGGUUUAUAUUUAAAGAUGGUUCCGCCAUCACAUUGAGAGAGGUCUGCUUCGUAUUAGCUUGUUGGUGAGGUAAUGGCUCACCAAGGCAAUGAUGCGUAGCCGAGCUGAGAGGCUGAUCGGCCACACUGGAACUGAGACACGGUCCAGACUCCUACGGGAGGCAGCAGUUAGGGAUAUUCGGCAAUGGACGAAAGUCUGACCGAGCAAUGCCGCGUGAAUGAAGAAGUAUUUCGAUAUGUAAAGUUCUGUUGUAAGGAAAGAAUGAUAGUGAUAGGAAAUGAUCAUUAUUUGACGGUACCUUACCAGAAAGCCCCGGCUAACUACGUGCCAGCAGCCGCGGUAAUACGUAGGGGGCGAGCGUUAUCCGGAAUUAUUGGGCGUAAAGGGUGCGUAGGUGGCCUUACAAGUCUGAGUUGAAAGCCCACGGCUUAACCGUGGAGGGUGCUCGGAAACUGUAAGGCUUGAAUCCAGAAGAGGCAAGUGGAAUUCUAUGUGGAGCGGUGGAAUGCGUAGAUAUAUGGAGGAACACCAGUGGCGAAGGCGGCUUGCUGGUCUGGGAUUGACACUGAGGCACGAAAGCGUGGGGAGCAAACAGGAUUAGAUACCCUGGUAGUCCACGCCGUAAACGAUGAGUACUAGUUGUCGGGGAGACUCGGUGACGAACAAAACUAAUUAAGUACUCCGCCUGGGGAUUACGGCCGCAAGGUUGAAACUCAAAGGAAUUGACGG
This 887-nucleotide ribosomal RNA is filed under the name uncultured bacterium. RNAcentral's name for it is "bacterial SSU rRNA". It matches the Rfam family "Bacterial small subunit ribosomal RNA", at positions 56 to 916 of the family's 1533-position model. The record is from RNAcentral.